ACGUAAUGCAUGGCUUCGGCCACCAUUAUCACCCUUGACUUUGAGCACCUUUUCGUUUCCUCGGCGGGUUCGCCCGCCAGCGAGGACCCCUUAAACACUUUGUAGUAAGCAAUUUUUGUCUGAAAUACAACCAAUAAUCA
This 140-nucleotide unclassified non-coding RNA is filed under the name uncultured Arthopyreniaceae. RNAcentral's name for it is "sequence contains ITS1". The record is from RNAcentral. Lineage: Eukaryota; Fungi; Ascomycota; Dothideomycetes; Pleosporales; Arthopyreniaceae.